Molecule: ribosomal RNA, 492 nt
Filed under: uncultured bacterium
Lineage: Bacteria
Description: partial 16S ribosomal RNA
Rfam family: Bacterial small subunit ribosomal RNA
Source: RNAcentral
AGUGAACGCUGGCGGUAGGCCUAACACAUGCAAGUCGAACGGCAGCACAGUAAGAGCUUGCUCUUACGGGUGGCGAGUGGCGGACGGGUGAGGAAUACAUCGGAAUCUACUUUUUCGUGGGGGAUAACGUAGGGAAACUUACGCUAAUACCGCAUACGACAUACGGGUGAAAGCAGGGGAUCUUCGGACCUUGCGCGAUUGAAUGAGCCGAUGUCGGAUUAGCUAGUUGGCGGGGUAAAGGCCCACCAAGGCGACGAUCCGUAGCUGGUCUGAGAGGAUGAUCAGCCACACUGGAACUUAGACACGGUCCAGACUCCUACGGGAGGCAGCAGUGGCGAAUAUUGGACAAUGGGCGCAAGCCUGAUCCAGCCAUACCGCGUGGGUGAAGAAGGCCUUCGGGUUGUAAAGCCCUUUUGUUGGGAAAGAAAAGCAGCAGGUUAAUACCCCGCUGUUCUGACGGUACCCAAAGAAUAAGCACCGGCUAACUUCGUG